ACGGGUAGCCGGCCUGAGAGGGUGAUCGGCCACAUUGGGACUGAGACACGGCCCAGACUCCUACGGGAGGCAGCAGUGGGGAAUAUUGCACAAUGGGCGCAAGCCUGAUGCAGCGACGCCGCGUGAGGGAUGACGGUCUUCGGAUUGUAAACCUCUUUCAGUAGGGACGAAGCGAAAGUGACGGUACCUGCAGAAGAAGCACCGGCCAACUACGUGCCAGCAGCCGCGGUAAUACGUAGGGUGCGAGCGUUGUCCGGAAUUACUGGGCGUAAAGAGCUCGUAGGCGGUUUGUCACGUCGUCUGUGAAAUCCUACAGCUUAACUGUGGGCGUGCAGGCGAUACGGGCAGACUUGAGUACUACAGGGGAGACUGGAAUUCCUGGUGUAGCGGUGAAAUGCGCAGAUAUCAGGAGGAACACCGGUGGCGAAGGCGGGUCUCUGGGUAGUAACUGACGCUGAGGAGCGAAAGCAUGGGUAGCGA
This 480-nucleotide ribosomal RNA is filed under the name Dietziaceae bacterium. Its description in RNAcentral is "bacterial SSU rRNA". It matches the Rfam family "Bacterial small subunit ribosomal RNA", at positions 279 to 771 of the family's 1533-position model. Lineage: Bacteria; Bacillati; Actinomycetota; Actinomycetes; Mycobacteriales; Dietziaceae. The record is from RNAcentral.